RNAcentral lists this transfer RNA (107 nucleotides) under Candidatus Thorarchaeota archaeon AB_25. Its description in RNAcentral is "tRNA-Val". It matches the Rfam family "tRNA". From Rfam's summary of the family: Transfer RNA (tRNA) molecules are approximately 80 nucleotides in length. Lineage: Archaea; Promethearchaeati; Candidatus Thorarchaeota. The record is from RNAcentral.
GGGGCGGUAGUCUAGCCCGGCUAUGAUGUCUCGCUUACACCGAGAACUGUAUUGAGUUUCAUACUUGGUACGCUCGAGGGUCGCUGGUUCAAAUCCGGCCCGCCCCA